RNAcentral lists this ribosomal RNA (258 nucleotides) under Clostridioides difficile. RNAcentral's name for it is "partial 23S ribosomal RNA". It matches the Rfam family "Bacterial large subunit ribosomal RNA", at positions 1 to 258 of the family's 2925-position model. Lineage: Bacteria; Bacillati; Bacillota; Clostridia; Peptostreptococcales; Peptostreptococcaceae. The record is from RNAcentral.
UGGUCAAGUUAGUACGGGUGCAGGGCGGAGGCCUUGGCACUAGGAGCCGAUGAAGGACGUGAUAAGCUGCGAUAAGCUUCGGGGAGUUGCACGUAAACUUUGAUCCGAAGAUUUCCGAAUGAGGAAACUCACAUAGAGUAAUGUCUAAGUAUCAUUAAGUGAAUACAUAGCUUAAUGAGGGGAACUCAGGGAACUGAAACAUCUAAGUACCUGAAGGAAGAGAAAGAAAUUCGAUUCCGUAAGUAGCGGCGAGCGAAC